ACGUGCUACAAUGGCGCAUACAAAGAGAAGCGACCUCGCGAGAGCAAGCGGACCUCAUAAAGUGCGUCGUAGUCCGGAUUGGAGUCUGCAACUCGACUCCAUGAAGUCGGAAUCGCUAGUAAUCGUGGAUCAGAAUGCCACGGUGAAUACGUUCCCGGGCCUUGUACACACCGCCCGUCACACCAUGGGAGUGGGUUGCAAAAGAAGUAGGUAGCUUAACCUUCGGGAGGGCGCUUACCACUUUGUGAUUCAUGACUGGGGUGAAGUCGUAACAAGGUAACCGUAGGGGAACCUGCGGUUGGAUCACCUCCUUACCUGAAAGAAGC
Molecule: ribosomal RNA, 326 nt
Filed under: Salmonella enterica subsp. enterica serovar Agona str. SA-4
Lineage: Bacteria; Pseudomonadati; Pseudomonadota; Gammaproteobacteria; Enterobacterales; Enterobacteriaceae
Description: bacterial SSU rRNA
Rfam family: Bacterial small subunit ribosomal RNA
Source: RNAcentral